GGACUUUUUCAUUUUCAUUUCUUUCAUAUUCUUUCAAAUUUACAAAAUAUUUGAAGUCUGCUCUCGGUGUCCUUUUUCAUGAAAAUGUGGAUAAACAAGAUAUAUAUCUCUGCAGACAGCUUUUACUUUAAUUCCCCUGCUACUGGUAAAUUUGAUUAGGAAAAAUAAAAGCGUUCAACAAAUAUUUUAAAAAUCUACCAGCUGAUUAAAUCACACUUUCUCUCUAUCUUGUUGGAAUAUGAGGUUGACUUGGGCAUCAUUUUAAAUCUUCUAGUUUAGAUUAUGAUCUUUAAAAUGACAUUAAGCUUGCUUUGAUGUUCCAUGUAAGUAUAGGACAAAAGCCUGAGAAUUAAAUGAUUGCUCACGUUGUAGCGUCAUAAUAGCAUAGCCUCAAAGUCCAACCAAAAGAUAGCAAAUGAAUCUAUUCCAGAAAUGUUUGUGCUCCUCCAAUGAAUCAUGUCACCAGUUCUGCCAGAAAGAAAGAAAAAGUGCUCAAAAUCUCAAAACACAUUUUUUGACAGGACUGAGAGCAGUAUCUGAAGUCUGCUUUACUUAACAUUUUCUGACACUGUUUUAACUGUCCUAUUCUUUGAGGUAUAUAUGUAUGUGGGAAGACCUUGGUGUCAGAAGCUGGAAUUCUGUCUUGUUUUUGAAAGGUUGUGCCAUUCUGGAGCUGAGUAGAGGCAAACUGCAGGAUAAACAUUCUGCAUGCUGGAGAAGGGAAGAGUGGAGAGCGAGGAAGAGAAGGAAAGAUCUUUUCACACUUCUUCUUCCCAGGAGAGUGGAAAUUGAUAAAAGAGAUGUACAUCCACAGAGAAUGAAAGGAUGCACAGAUGUAAACUUCCCCCUCUCCUCGAUUUCAGCUGUUGAUUCAAUGGAGCAACCCUAAUGCUAUCUUCAAGACUGCCCGAAUGUCCAACCCUCAAUCGGGGCAAAGAGUUGCCAUGGUUGCAGAGUGAAAAGCAAGGAAUCAAUGGGGGAAGGGCAAGGGAAUGGGUACAGGAGAAGUAAAUCCACGUGAAAAGCAAUAACAAUUAUCUGAGGUAAAGUGGCACUUCUGUGGAGUGUUUUGUCAAAACAGCAAAGACCAAAAUUUGCAGCAAAAAUUAUUUUUAAUAUUUUUCUUGAGUUCCCUUAUUAAUAAUGCUGCCAUUCUGUCUGCUGCUAUAAUUAAUAGCGUUUGCAGUAUUUCCAUUCAGAAAUGCUCUCUCUUUUAACUCCUGGCUGAGGACAGCUGAAUAUAGAUGACAAGAAUAGAAAUGAAGAAAUGACAUUAAUGAAGAUUCAAAAUGCAUGGUUGAAUGGCAGAGGCUUAUCUUCAAAAUCACAAGAAAUCGAGGAACAUCUACAAGAAUGAACAGUCCAAGCACAACUACCUUGCUUGUUUAUACAAAAUAUUAUAAUAAAUGUGUAUGCAAAUACA
RNAcentral lists this long non-coding RNA (1423 nucleotides) under Coturnix japonica (Japanese quail). RNAcentral describes it as "lncRNA (ENSCJPG00005011587.1)". Lineage: Eukaryota; Metazoa; Chordata; Aves; Galliformes; Phasianidae. The record is from RNAcentral.